AAUCUAAUUUAAAUUCUCAAACCUCUAAAAUCCAAACCCUAACUCUCUUUCUCUCGUUCAAUUCUCCCGCCCACAGGCCGCCGCCUCGCCUCCCAUCAGUCUGACGCGCCUCCGGCAGUCUCCCCCGGUCCAACGCACCACCGGUCUCCGACCGCCCCGCCUCGGUCUGACUCGAAGCCUCCGUGGCAAGCCAAAAGUAUGCUAUGCCCCGUCGCGCCUCAGUGUGCGACAGCACGGCCCAUCCUUUCCCGUCGUCCCGCCUCACCUCCUCCGGCCUCAGCGGCUCCGUUGGUCCGUCCGGCGACUCCAAAACACCAGCAGUUGCCAACACGGCGAGCCUGUAGGAACUUGGGGUUGAAUAUAACUCAUUAAGAUGCAUUUGACCGAAUGUUUUGAUGGUUUUGGAAGAAUCGACAUUCUGCCUGUAAUCUGAUGCCCAAAGGUACAAAUGGGGUUCUUUCUUGUCUAUGGUAGCUGCACUCAGUAACCCCCCCUCCCCCCCUCUCAGGAAGAUGAAGAUCAUUGGGUUCGAUGAUGAAGUAACCUACUAUCUCUAUGAAAUGCCAGGAGCAGCUACCUCAGAUGUUUUCCAUCUCCGGUAAUAUAUAAAUUAUCAUGGCAUCCUUCAAUCUUGAUUCAAGCUAUAGCUCCAAAUGAAACUUUAAAGAAAUUGGCUUCUGUUUGCUCAAAUUUCAAGCUCCUUAGUAAAGUUCUUUUUUCCAUUUCAACUACUGUAGCAAAGUUCUUGUGUAUUUGCACCAUACUAUACUAGAUUCAUUGACCGCCAGCUAAUGUUCUUUCUUUUGCUGUAUUUAUGUCGACGCACAUGGCCUAUGAAUUGCUUCCUGAGUCUGGAAAGAUUGUUGCCUUUGACGUCGACUUACCCGUAAAGCAAGCAUUUCAUAUUCUGCAUGAGCAGGGUGUAUAUACGGCGCCCUUGUGGGACUUCUCAAAGAGCCGGUUUACCGGAGUUCUCAGUGCACUGGAUUUUAUUUUGAUUAUGAGAGAGAGCAGUUCUCGGCUUUUGGUUUUGUUGAAAUUGGACUAAUUGUUCUGCGGGUGGAGGAAAAUUUGACGAGUA
Salvia miltiorrhiza (redroot sage) is the source of this 1081-nucleotide RNA transcript. It is a transcript of the gene named sucrose nonfermenting 4-like protein, with no coding region annotated. NCBI's taxonomy places the organism in Eukaryota, Viridiplantae, Streptophyta, Magnoliopsida, Lamiales, Lamiaceae. The record is from RefSeq and is a predicted model, not a curated record. The transcript has 6 exons.